Molecule: long non-coding RNA, 6349 nt
Organism: Scatophagus argus
Lineage: Eukaryota; Metazoa; Chordata; Actinopteri; Scatophagidae
Exons: 3
Source: RefSeq, a predicted model, not a curated record
ACACGCCUCAGGCUGCUAACAUGUAAAUACAACCCAUGUAAGGCGAUUUAUUUACUGAAUGUAGUUCCGUCAGUCAAGUUUAGUCAUUUCUUCCUCUUGGCCUCAUAUCCACAAAGCAUGUUUUUGUGUCAGCUUUCCUGUGUGAGUGUGUUUUAUCUGUCCCCACACAAAGAUUUUCCUGCUAAACCUGCAAAAAAAUCUCACACUUUCUGUGUUUUGACUGAAAUACUGGCCAUCUUUUGCCUCCCACACACACAUCUCACUUAAUUAAAGGCUCCGAGUCUGUGGAAGGAGGGGGAAACACAUUUGAAGCUGGCUGUCUCUCUCCGCAUUCUUUCACUAUUCGCCCACGCUCUUAAAGAAACAGUGCUCGAGUUUCAUAUCGCAUGCUUGACUCCCACGAGUUUCAGUCUUUGAUGAUAAGAUCAUGAGCUAAAGUUGCAUACUGCUCCAUAAAAGAAGGUGUGAUCAGGUAUAUUUUUUCGCAUUCCUGCAGCACCAGCACCAAACCUGGGAUCGGACUCCUUCAGAAUAAAAGCUCCACAAAAGUCAGCUGAUUAAAAUACAGAUUUAGGGGCUUGAGUUGAGCCACGUCCGAAGCAUAGUCAGUCUUCAGGUGAUCUCAAGUCUUACAACCUGAGCACAUAGCACAGAGCAGAGGAAAUAAAUGCCCAUAACAUAUGCACAUAAAAAGUAGAACAUGAAAGUUCAGCAUGUUGAGCUCUGCAACAUGAGUGGCAAAGUGGCAAGCUAGAACAAAACAGAUCUGCCCACUAGUCUGACAGUGGAGAUGCAAGAAUGGUUUGAAAAAAUGUGAACUUUUAAUCCGUCGGGAAAAAUGUUUACAUAAAUUGGAAACUGCUGUGAAAUGUGUAUGAAAUGCCUUUUCAACUCAGGCUUCAUUCUCCACGAAGAAGCAAACUGCAAGCAUUUUUACAGCCGUCUUUUAAACCCACAGGGACUGAAUGGUGAUUGUGGCAAAGUCUUUCUUCUUAACUGGUUUUGGCUGAGUCAGGUGGAGUUCAUGUCAGAUGAAAACCAUUUACAGUCGUUAAAAUUCCUCAGUCUUGUCCAGUGUUGCUGAACUUUGUCUGGAUAUUCUCUCUCUCUCUCCCCUCAGUAUGUGACAUGAGUCAGGGCAUCCAGUCAGACACCCACAGCAGAUGAUGACCCCAGUUAAUCUGUCUUUUCUGCUGUUUUAGCUCUUCGUGUUCCGUUUGUGUAAGCAAAAGCUAACCUGGUUGACUCAUCUCCAUGAGUUUCACUGCUUUGAACAAAAGUGAAUAAAUUUAACUUCCCUUUAUUGUCUCAUAACUGAGGUCUGCUUCCUGUUUUCUGACCUUUACCCCCCCAUUUUCAUGCUCAUAAGGCCAUGACAGCACACAGUUUGGACCACAGUCAUGCUGACUCCAUCACUGCUCCUUCAUACUGUGUCAUUUACUGCGUGUCAGCCCUCGACUGGGCUGUUUGCUCUCCUCGUCUUUUCUCCCUGCUCUUCUAUCAGCUGAUUCUGUUUGCUUCCUCCUAAAGCAAAUUUACUCUGUGAUGUGUCUCUCAUGUGUUUGAAAGCCUCACAAGAGCAGGCUUGUCUUUGGCAAAGUCGUAUACCUGUAAAAGACACGCCAGCCCCACAGUUCCCUCUUUCAUCAUCACCGUUUCAUCUUUGCUCUCGAAAAACAACACUUUUUUUGAGGGAGGCUUUUUUCCCCCUCACUGUAUUUUUGUACAGCAUUUCACCAAGCGAACUGCAAAAGUCUGAAGCAGGGAGUGAAGCACUUUGUGGCUGUUUGGGAGGAAUGGGAGGAAUGAGGAUCAGGAUCCAGGCAGGCGGCCGCCCAGAGAGACAGGCAGAGAAAAAGUCCAGAGAACGUUGAAUUUGGCUCACAACAGAAAACUUUCACAGCCUUGGAGUUAAAGGACAACUGAUGAGGUCGUCACACUGACUGAGUGGACGAGGGUUGAAGUGACCUGACUGAUCCAGGUGACGUCUGGUUCAGUUGCUGUGGGAACCAGUGAUCUUCGACAUUCUCCGCUGGAAUGAAAACUUUACCUGGAAGGAAGUUCAUCAGCCUAAAAAUAAACUCUGCACAUCCACAAAGACUGCCGCCGUCCUGUCCCACAGCAACAUCAGCUGCUGCACCUUCCUCCACCGUCAUCCUGUGUGUUUUCCACUCAGCCCAGUGAAGCUCUUCACUGCACUCAUUAUUGUUUUGGGGGUUUUGUUAGCCUGCACUUUGGUGUUGAUUUUGAAGUGUGCUCUGAGCACCUCUGUUGGUCCAAAGGUCAACACAUCACAACACAUUAAGAUAUCUUCAGCCUUCACCCCGAUACAGUGGAGAUUGUGGCUCAGGAUGCGGUGCCUCCACACAUAAAACUGAAACACUCAGCGUGGCUCCACACCAGCUCCACUGGUGUUGGAGGGAGAGAAAAAUAGCUUCCAUUCAUCUUCCCCACACGACUUUGCAGGGUGAAUUAGGGAAUCUGACUUUGUGUUUUGACUUUGAGGUGGUUUGUUUGUCUCGAACUGUUCUGCUCGCACAGCGUUCAGGCAGGACUUCGUACAAAAUACAUUUCAGUAUUUAAACAUUUUGAUAUCAAAAUUGCUGACUUGAAUGAUUUACUUCAUUCAGGGAAAUUUGACUUUUUUGCUCAAAAUUCUGCAUUCCCACUUUUAAAUGUCGUCGCGUCUUUAAUCAAAAUUUUGAGGAAUUUCUGAACUUCCUGUUUUGUUUUCUGAAAUCAGAGCUUUUUAUUUAUUCUUAAUUCAUUCCUGACCUUUAAAAUUCUGAGCUUAAUAUGAUAAAUCAAAUACUUUUUCAUUUGGCCUUAAUCAUCCUCAAUUGCAGAAUAACUUCUGCAAGAAGUGUCAUAUUAUCCUUUAAUUUAGCACAAUGUCAAACCUUUUCAAAAAGAAAAGAAAAGGUCAGCUUCCCUUGUUAUCCUUUCUGCACUUUACAAACUCUCUAACGUCUGAUUGUCCUACAGCUGUGAUGUGAAACUGGAAGGAUUUCAUCCCAGAGUGUUUUUUUGGGGGGGAAAUGUUGAAAUGAAUGAUUUAAGGGCUGAAACAGUAAAUGAAGACUUCUUUUUUACAAAGCAGACAAUAUACAGAAUUUGAGCUGGAAAAUGUUUGUUUUUGCAUCUUGACUGAGGAUUUUUUGUGUGUUUCACGUACUGUACCUUUAAUGUUACUUAUUGUAGGCAGAUGUCUCAUUUUGGGAUCAAACUCUUCAGCUCUUUGUUCUCGUGAAUGUAUCUGUACAAAUGCAUCCACCAUGUCGUUCACUUCUCACAAACGCUCACCUCUUUUAAAUCCUUCUCUGCCUCCCCAAGCAACGAAUUUGGAACCAGACAUGCUGCCCAAAAGCUUUUCUUUCUGUUGCCUCAAAUGCUUUCAAUAGAGAGCAAAGCCUGUGGGCGGGCAUGUUUUUCCCCUCGCUCUGUACAGUUGCUGGAUGUCUCUGGAGAGUCUGUUGGAUUAUGGAGAGGAUUUCUGUUGGAUGUCAGUGAAAUAAAGAAGACUUGUUUUUUUUAAAGCACUGAAAGGCUCUCCUGUUGCAUCAACCAAUCACAAAGCCUGCAGCACCCUUAAGUGGUGUUUAUAUGCAUUAGUAACAGUAGACAUGUCAGACUGUAAGCUGUGCAUAAUAGAUUAUUGCAUCAUUUCAGUGGAAAGAGAGAACGUCUGUGAGGGUAAAAGCCUUUUCACACACACUUGGCCUACUUUGUCAUCUAAAUGAAGAGUGUUGCACAACCUGUGGGGCUUUACUCUCUGCGAUGAGCUUUCUUAUGAGGUGUGUGGUGCCACCAGCUGAUGGAGGCGAGACAAGAUGAACUUUGAGAUGCUGCCACGUCGUAGGUAGAAGGGCAGCAGAGGAGAGAUUUAGAACAGCAACGAAGUGACGAAGGGUCACGACAGCCAGGCUCACGGGGGUGAUGGCUCCAGGCGAAAAGCUGAGGUUUAGGUUGCCAAAGUUAUUGCAGUUCAUCGUGAACGGAAACGUGAAUGUCUGUUUCAGAUCUCAUAGCAAAUCAAUAUCAUCCAUCCAACGAGACACAUGACUGAAAACCACAAACGUCACGCUCGAGUGACCAUGAAUAUCUGAAACAAACUUCUUUGAAAGCAUCCUGAUAGUUUUGAAGAUAUUUCAGUCUGGAGCAAUGAGGCACUGAGUACUACACUGCAGCUUCAGUCACUGGCCUAAUAGCUAUCCUGCAUUUUUUGAACAUUCUUACCAAAUCUGCCGUAGUUUGUCCACUUUGGAACAACUUGAGAGGGAAAAAACUGCUUUUCACCAAGGCGACCUCACACCACUUUAAAGAACAUUUCACGUGUUGUUUCUACGCAUUUAAAGCUUUUUAUUUGUCAUUAAACGCCAUUCAAAUUUUAUGACCUUUGGACAAAGUCAGGUGACCUUUGUUGUCAUGGAAACAGUAAUGAACACGUGCUCAGCAUGUUAUUCACACACCAUUUGAUGACUAAGGUUAAAGGACACCUAAGAUUGUGUGUACAUGUUAUGGGACAAGACAGGAUGCAGAGAACUGCAGGCUGUUUUCAUGCUGCCUGACGUUCCACAUUGAUGAUGCACUGGAACGUCUUGUUCUGAACUGCAGUAGGCAGGCAGAUUCCUGCAUGGAGCUGAAAUAAGUGGUGAAAAGUGCAUGUCUGGACUUGCUGAGCCUUACAUAAGAGCUUGAUGUAAUCUCAUCAGACGUGACCAGGCCUUGGAAUAAUAUGUGAGGUUCAGGAGAUGGAAGGAGGUCAGGCGCUGGCUCGACUCCAAGCUUUUCCUGAUGACACGCCACAGCACAAAGACGUGAAGACAUGCUGUGGGGCGUUUUCACAUGACACACAUACAGAGCACACAGUGUACAGGCCUGCUGAGUGGGCUUUAGGGCAUCUCUGCAGAUCACAUCCAGUCAGCGGUAACCCUUUCCUUUCCUUUAUUUUCCUCCUUCUGUAUGUUAGAUUUCAUCUGAAUUUCAUCAUUAUAUAACAUAGUGCCAGUCUGAAUUAGAUGCUAAUGCAAACUCAUGUUUAGCUGUUUGUUGCCUCAACAGAUUUAGUGCAACGCUUAAUAUUUCCUCAGUUGUAUUUCCAUCAGGACAUCCAAAGAGUCAUGUGGCACUCAGCUCCCUACUUCUCUGACUUCCUGCUGUAACACUGCUGUGUUCACUCACCUGUGGAGGGAAGUAACUAAAGGCUUUACAGUCAGUUCUGUUUGAGGUAGUCAUACUUUAACCCUGUUUUCAUAUUUUAUGCCACUUUGUACUUCUAGUCAACACAUGGCAGAGAGACAUUCUGUCAGCUGUGGAUACAAGCUGGCCUGUGUUUUAAUCGCAGAGUUUUCCUCAGCCUGUUCAUCACCCUCACUGCCCUCACCUGUGCGUGUCCACCUGAACCCCAUUCCCUCGUCAGUCCAGUUUGUAUUUUAGCCCAGUUUGGGUUCAGUUCUUUGUCAGGUCACUCUGCUCUGCUCGUCGUGCAUCAGGGUCAUGAAGUGAAUGAGAAACCAACAAGCCUUCGUAAAGCAACUGACAAAAUAGGCUGAAUGAAUUUACAUCUGUUUGCAGUCGUUUUUCUGUCCACCAGGCAAAUAUUCUGCCUUCCUCUCCUCUGUUUUUGGCCUCCACGAACUCCUGAGGGAAAUGAGAGGCUCUGCAGCGUCUAAAUGAUGCACUUUGUUCACCAGCGACUCAGUGACUGCGUCUGCCUGCUGCUGUGCUGUGGGCUGUUUACAGCUGAAAUCACUGCUGUCUGCCUGUUACGAUGAAAACACCGAUUACAGCCUCUUGAAAGAAAAAUUCUCACAGUUUAGAACACAAAGUUUACUCAAAACCGAGCCUCUAAUAUUUCUGUGAAAUUUCCCACCACAUCUGCAAGUUGAAAGAGAUGCUGAUGAGCAGGAUGAGGGUGAAAAAGAAACUGAAAUGAGAACGAGGCUGUGCUGCUCAUCAGAUUCAAAUGCCUUUUCACUUUAACAUGCUGAAAUAAUGAAGAGACAGAAUGAAACUGUGUGUGUUGUUUCAUGUUUGAGGAACAGCACAGCUCUCAGCAAACUGAUUGUUUGGAAUGAAUGUUAUCUGUCGGAAGUCCUUAUUUAUGUAGUAUUUUGUGUCCGUGUUACGUAAAGGACUCUCACGCAGGAUGGACAUUCUGAUGGCGUGACACGGAAACACAAAGUGAAUUCAUUCAUUCAUUCAGAGUGUAACUAUGUACAGGACAGGCGUGUCUUUUCUGAAGUUUAUUUUUUGUCAGUCAUGUUUAAAGUGUUCUCAGAUUAUGUUGUCUGUCUGAAAGUCUAAAUGAAAUAAAAAUAUUUGCGUAAAACAUAUCUGUUUUUUUAUU